CUAAUGUUUUGAUUGGUUGAAAAUGUAGGAUUAUGCCUAGCGAGGUUGGUUCCCUCUUCUCUCGAAUCUUCUCAACAUCAAACUCACCAUUUUCUCUACUACCUUUGCUCCAUCAUCUUCCAUCCAUGUCGAUUUCCACCAAAAUUCCUCAUCCUCUCCUUCAUCACCCUAAUUCACCAUACCCCAAAACCUCAAAAUCCUCUUUUUUAUACUCAACACCCUCUAAAUUAACCUUCUUUAGAUCCAUUACCAUUGAAAGAAUUUCAACAAAAUCUGUUUCUGCAACCCCAGCAGCAGCAGGAGCAGGAGCAGGUGCAGCUUCAGAAUCCUCUUCUUCAUCUCUCCAACCCAUUGAAGAGCUUCCGCCGAAGCUUCAAGAAAUCGUCAAGCUUUUUCAAGCAGUUGAACUACCAAAGGCUAAAUACGAACAACUGUUGUUUUACGGCAAGAAUUUAAAACCACUUGAUACCCAGUACAAGACUAGUGAAAAUAAGGUUCAGGGUUGUGUUUCACAGGUUUGGGUUAGGGCGUAUUUUGAUUCUGAGAAAAAUGUUGUAUUUGAGGCUGAUUCUGAUUCGGUACUUACUAAAGGUCUUGCUGCUUUGUUAGUUCAGGGACUUUCUGGAAGACCUGUAGAAGAGAUUUUAAAAGUUUCCCCUGAUUUUGCUGUACUUUUAGGGUUGCAACAAAGCUUAACUCCUUCUAGGAAUAAUGGGUUUUUGAAUAUGUUGAAGUUAAUGCAGAAAAAAGCACUUCAGUUGUAUGUUGAAGCUGAGAAAGGUGCUAAUUUAGGCCAGAGUGAAAUAUCAAAUGCCUCGUCGACUGAGUCUCACAAUGUUAAUGGUAAUGGAAAUGUUGAGUCUAUAGCCAGUCCUGAAGUUAAUGGAAACAAUGCAACUGUUGGUGCUAGUGAUGAUGGUGUUUUGAGGAGUAGAGGGAUGAGAAUCAAGGAGAAAUUGGAGAAGGAACUUAGGCCUGUUGAACUAGAAGUUGAAGAUAUAUCUUAUCAGCAUGCAGGACACGCGGGGAUUAGAGGUAGUGAUGGAGAAACACACUUUAAUUUAAAAGUGGUGUCUGAGGAAUUUGAAGGCAAGAGUUUGGUUAAGAGGCAUAGGAUGAUUUAUGGUUUACUGCAAGAUGAGUUGCAGAAUGGACUACACGCAUUGUCAAUUGUGGCCAAGACACCGUCUGAAGUUGGUAGUAGUUGAAUUGCUGGCGUCAAGAGAGAAUCAUGAAGCACAAUGCAUCAUAGGCUGAUAGUACAUUUUUUGGAUGCCUCAGCCUCCUCCAGGCUUUGUUUCCGUGGGUUGUAUAACCUGCAAAGGAGUACCAAAUGAAUCUAAUUUUGGUUCCUUAAGAUGCACCCGCAGUGAUAUGGUUGCUGGUGGUCAGUUUUCGGAACAAAGCAUUUGGGAUAUAUAUGAUGCCAAAUUCACGAAGAAUCCCUUUAGUUUAUGGGUUAUUGGAGAUGAGUUAGGACAUUUCAUUGUUCGCAGUGGCUUCAAGAAGCCUCCAAAGAGGCUUGCGUUGAAGCUUGCUGAUCGAGAUAUGGCUAGUGGUCUAGAUGAUAUGGUGGUUGACGCAGAAAUCAGGACAUUCUCCGCAGCCCUUUUUGAUGAUUAUGGCAGUUUGAUGGUUCUGUAACGUGUCUUUCAGAGACAUAACUUUCAAUUUACAUCAAAGGUCUAACUAUCUGAGUUCCAGUGUGACCUUUUCCUUGGCUGCUAGAUCAUACAAUGAUAGAAAUGCAAGAGAAUACAAUAAACCCCUAUCCUCUACUGGAUGUCAAUGUCAGGGCUCAACAACGAUGAAGAGGCAGCUCCUAACUUGUGGUAUCGUCGUGGGUAGCACUUAUGCUCAGACUCUAGGAAAGAAGACAACAAACUGAAAGGAUGAGUACACAAAGUACUCAGUAGGUAUCAUCGGCCUCCCUCCAUACUAGUCUUUGAGAAAACAUGUAUUGAAAUCAUAUAUCAUAAGUUAUACUAUGAUUUGGCAAGAUAUCAUGUUCAUGCUUUGUACUCGUUCAUCAUGUCAUUUCAACAUAGCUUUUGUUAUAAGAUACUCCUAUUUGAAUGGUU
Solanum tuberosum (potato) is the source of this 2081-nucleotide RNA transcript. It is a transcript of the gene named sufE-like protein 1, chloroplastic/mitochondrial, with no coding region annotated. The record is from RefSeq and is a predicted model, not a curated record. NCBI's taxonomy places the organism in Eukaryota, Viridiplantae, Streptophyta, Magnoliopsida, Solanales, Solanaceae. The transcript is spliced from 4 exons.